RNAcentral lists this ribosomal RNA (261 nucleotides) under uncultured bacterium. Its description in RNAcentral is "partial 16S ribosomal RNA". It matches the Rfam family "Bacterial small subunit ribosomal RNA", at positions 524 to 776 of the family's 1533-position model. The record is from RNAcentral.
GACGUAGGGCGCGAGCGUGUCGGAUUUAUUGGGCGUAAAGAGCUCGUAGGCGGCUUUGUUGCGUCGACUGUCGGAAAACCCCGCGGCUUGAAACCGCGGGCCAUGCAGUUGAUACGGGCGGGGCUAGGAGUUCGGUUAGGGGAGACUGGAAUUCCUGGUGUAGCGGUGAAAUGCGCAGAUAUCAGGAGGAACACCGGUGGCGAAGGCGGGUCUCUGGGCCGAUACUGACGUGGAGGAGCGAAAGCGUGGGGAGCGAACAGG